Molecule: ribosomal RNA, 301 nt
Filed under: uncultured bacterium
Lineage: Bacteria
Description: partial 16S ribosomal RNA
Rfam family: Bacterial small subunit ribosomal RNA
Source: RNAcentral
CAGCAGCCACGGUAAUACGUAGGGUGCAAGCGUUAAUCGGAAUUACUGGGCGUAAAGCGUGCGCAGGCGGUGUUGUAAGACUGAUGUGAAAUCCCCGGGCUCAACCUGGGAACUGCAUUGGUGACUGCAACGCUGGAGUGCGGCAGAGGGGUAUGGAAUUCCGCGUGUAGCAGUGAAAUGCGUAGAUAUGCGGAGGAACACCGAUGGCGAAGGCAAUCCCCUGGGCCUGCACUGACGCUCAUGCACGAAAGCGUGGGGAGCAAACAGGAUUAGAUACCCCCGUAGUCCCUGUCUCUUAUAC